RNAcentral lists this ribosomal RNA (301 nucleotides) under Dactylogyroides longicirrus. RNAcentral's name for it is "eukaryotic LSU rRNA". It matches the Rfam family "Eukaryotic large subunit ribosomal RNA", at positions 112 to 384 of the family's 3401-position model. Lineage: Eukaryota; Metazoa; Platyhelminthes; Monogenea; Dactylogyridea; Dactylogyridae. The record is from RNAcentral.
CUGUAUAUCUCCCUGUUUUUGUUUUUAGGACAAUGUGGUGUUCAGGUGUGUACCUGGGAGCGCUUGCCUACCCGAAGUCCAAUUCCGAUUCUGGCUUGGAUACUACCCACAGCGGGUGAAAGGCCCGUACGGGUAGGCCCCUUGUUGCAAUAAGCGUUCCUCAGAUGUGCAUACCGUCGAGUCGGAUUGCUUGAGAAUGCAGUCCAAAGUGGGUGGUAAACUCCAUCCAAGGCUAAAUACUGGCACGAGUCCGAUAGUAGACAAGUACCGUGAGGGAAAGUUGAAAAGUACUCUGAAGAGA